This is a long non-coding RNA of Ostrinia nubilalis (European corn borer), 659 nucleotides long. RefSeq lists it as uncharacterized. The record is from RefSeq and is a predicted model, not a curated record. The transcript is spliced from 3 exons. NCBI's taxonomy places the organism in Eukaryota, Metazoa, Arthropoda, Insecta, Lepidoptera, Crambidae.
GGGAGCGUGGCAAUGGCCAAAUCUCAGCCUAUUUAUUAUGGUUAUGAACUUCCUGUUAUCUAUAUUCUCAUUCCUCCGAUGGUACCAAGGUUUGGCGGGCGGGCUUCCUUGGAUCUUAGCAUACCAUUUUCCCUUUUCCAUACUAGUAAUAGUCCAGUACUCAUGCCAUAUCUUUUUCAGGUCUUGACUGAUUGCGGCUUGAUAGUCAGUGUGAGGUAACUUCAACAACGUAGAAUGGUCAACAUCAAAGCCAUUCCUUGCAGCCAGAUCAACAAUUUCAUUCCCCCUGAUGCCACGGUGUGAUGGUACCCAAAGGAAGAGCAGUGUCUUACCAACUACCCCGGGUACUCCAAUAUCACAUAAGAUGGCUAUUAAAAUUGAGGGGACCACGUUAUCGAACGCGCCCUGUACAUCAAGGAAGACACAAGCUGUAGCAGAGUGACCGUCAAGAGAAUUCCUAAGGUCUGAGACCAAUGCUGUAAAACUUUCUGCUGCACUUCGGCCUUUUCUAAAUCCGAAUUGUUCAUUUGGAGGAGAUACAGGGGAAUAUUUCUCAAAAAAAGAGGGAAUCCAUUCAUCAUUCUUCGGCAGUUUAGGAAUUGAAACACGCUUAAACCUCUUCAUAUAGUUCCAUACUGUACUAACAGGAGUAUAUUGAU